CGCGGGGCGAGGGGCGGCCGCAAGGACGGGGCUCCUCGGUGCCCUCCGCCCGCGGCCGCCGCCCACUGACACCCGUGCUCGCCGCCCUGCGAUCCCGCCCUUCCCGCCCCGCCGCUGCGGGCCUUCCUCCGUCCCUCAGCCUGCUGUGCAUUCUGGAGAUGCAGAAACCAUGUAGCAGAAAGCUUUGAGCAGCUGUGGAUUAUCAGUUUCUCCCAAGAGGAAUAAAAAGUGAAGGAUGAAGGCGACUGGAUUUAUUUCCCUGUGGACGUUGGUUUCGCUGCCUUGUGGCCCCUUAGCAAACCCCGCGGAACGUGAAGAUGUAGUGAAGCAUGCAAUAAAGCUGCACCGUGGGAAAGGGGCUGUUAUCACUCAGAGGAAGCAGUGGGUGUUGGAGAGCUGCAGAAAACUGUCUGGUCUUCUUCGCCAAAAGAAUGUUGUUCUCAACAAACUAAAAAAUGCCAUAAGAGCAGUUGAGAAGGAUGCUUCUCUGUCUGAUGAAGAGAAACUUUUUCAGGUGCACACCUUUGAAAUUUUCCAAAAGGAGCUAAAUGAAAGUGAAAACUCAGUCUUUCAGGCAAUCCAUGGCCUCCAGAGAGCUCUACAGGGUGACUACAAAGAUGUUGUAAAUAUGAAAGAAAGCAGUAGACAAAGACUGGAGGCCUUGAGAGAAGCUGCAAUUAAGGAAGAAAUGGAAUAUGUUGAACUCCUAGCAGCAGAGAAACACCAGGUUGAAGCCCUUAAGAACAUGCAGCACCAAAACAAAAGCCUGUCGAUGCUUGAUGAAAUUCUGGAAGAUGUCAGAAAGGCAGCUGAUAGAUUGGAAGAGGAAAUAGAAGAGCAUGCCUUUGAUGACAACAAAUCUGUAAGAGGUGUAAACUUUGAAGCUGUUUUAAGGGUGGAAGAAGAUGAAGCCAACUCCAAAAGAAAUGCUUCAAAAAGAGAAGUAGAAGAUGACUUAGGGCUUAGUAUGCUUAUUGAUUCUCAGAACAAUCAGUAUAUCCUUACUAAACCCAGAGACUCAACCAUUCCUCGUGCUGAUCAUCAUUUCAUAAAGGAUAUUGUGACAAUAGGAAUGUUGUCUUUGCCGUGUGGCUGGCUGUGCACAACGAUAGGAUUGCCAACCAUGUUUGGAUAUAUCAUCUGUGGAGUACUCUUAGGACCCUCAGGACUAAAUAGUAUCAAGUCUAUUGUACAGGUGGAGACGUUAGGAGAGUUUGGUGUAUUCUUCACUCUCUUUCUAGUUGGUCUGGAAUUUUCUCCUGAAAGAUUAAGAAAGGUAUGGAAAAUAUCUUUGCAAGGACCCUGCUACAUGACAGUUCUGAUGAUUGCCUUUGGUUUACUGUGGGGGCACUUGCUCCAAAUUAGACCAACACAGAGUGUCUUCAUUUCCACUUGUUUGUCUUUGUCAAGCACACCACUGGUGUCCAGAUUUCUUGCAGGUAGUGUUCGAGGAGAUAAAGAAGGGGAUAUUGACUACAGCAGCGUACUGCUUGGCAUGUUGGUGAUGCAGGAUGUGCAGCUUGGUUUAUUUAUAGCUGUCAUGCCUACACUUAUUCAAGCAGGAGUGAGCACAUAUUCCAGCAUUUUCAAGGAAAUUCUGAGAAUACUGAUACUGAUUGGCCAAAUUCUGUUUUCUCUGGCUGCUGUUUUUCUCCUAUGUCUUGUUAUAAAGACUUAUCUCAUAGGACCGUAUUACCGCAAGUUGCACACAGAAAGCAAAGGGAAUAAAGAAAUCCUCAUUCUAGGAAUAACUGCAUUCACCUUCCUUAUGUUAAUGAUUCUCUGUUAUUCCUUAACAGAUCACAGAGCUGUUGGAUGUUUCAAUGGAGCUGGGAUGCUUCUUAGCUGGAGCUCUGAUCUCUUCUCAGGGUCACAUGGUUACUGAGGAGAUUAUGUGCUGUAUUGAACCAAUACGUGACUUUCUUGCCAUCAUUUUCUUUGCAUCUAUAGUCUACAUGUGGAGUAUAGAGUUUGAAACUGGGCAUCAAGACCCUCUCUGCCACUGGUGAGGUAACAGAUUACUUCCACUGACUGACAAGUUGUGUGUUCUCAAUGUGCUGUACAGAUGUACCCACCUGCCAGCUUCCACGUUUCCCUUCCAGGUAACUCCUGUGGUCACUGUUGGACCUUGAAUGCAAGAGCUGAAAACCCUUUAACAGCUCAGUCUUUUUCUUCAGAAGAUGGGUGAUGCUGACACUGCCUGCACCACCACUGUCCAGAGCAAACAUGCACACAAGGAUUGUCCAGUGAGCCUCUUUACCACUUCCAUUGAAUCUGAGAAAAUCAAAGGAAGAUCCCAACUGGAAUUUGUUAGGUGGCAUGCAUCGCCUUCUCCUUAUCCAUCCAGCUCUACUGCUUUGUUUUUCUGCAUGGAGCACAAUGAAACUUGGAGGUUUCAUGCUCUCAGAACUGACAGUAGAGUCAAGAAUACUUUCCCCUUUGGAGAAUGAUUAAGAAGAUUGGCCUUCCCCUCUGCUGCUUAAUGAUCUAGCCAGGGCUGUAGUAUUGACUGCAUUUGCAGACUACGAUCUUAGGACUCUUAGUAGACACAGCAUCUCAAUGCAUAGCUAACCUGAUUUUUCUGAGUGAUGUCCUGUCUUGAGGAUAUGUCAGAAUUAAUUCUACUGGCUCCAUUUUGACCCUCAGAGUUCUGAUUUUUGUACUCUUGUUUGCCAUCAAGGAUCUCCAAGAUUGCUUUUUUGGUGUUGGAUCUUACCAGGAUGUGGUCAAGACGUCUGGAUCUUCACAUGCCGUUUAGGAGCUAUCCAUCAGAUUCGUAGAAUCUGCGUAAUUGAGGAAAGAGGGAGUUUACUUGUUAAGAAAAAAGUACUUUUUAAAAGAUUGUGCAAAGUCUUGCCUGUAAUUGUCCACAGAAUACAUACCAGCUUCUGUGAGUGAACUGUGCUUUUUGGCUUGGCAGUGAUACACCCCAAGGCCUCUGUUCCAGCUCUUUGUGAACACUGCUUGGAGCUGAAGGUCUGGUAGCUUGUGGCCAAUUCUGUAAAAGUGUACCUAAGUGUUAUCCUAGCUGUUGACUGCUGGCCAAUAUGAUGUGCUGAUGACACUGCUGAAGUUUUUGAGUUAUUUUAAGUGUUUCUUCCAUGUUAGAGUAUGAUUUCAGAAUUACUGCUGAGCUUAGUCAAAGUCUGAUCAAAACCAUUGCAAUAACUGGCCGUAUUCAUGCAGCUUCUGCCUAUGAAAUUAAUCCUUCUGAUGGUGUUUGUGUUGUCAGGAAGGCGCCAUGUGCUUGUUUAGGAGUCUGAUAGCACUUCUGGCCUUAUCCUGGGUUUUCAUCUAGGAAUGGGGCAAAGGUCUCUACUGACCAUAAAAAUACCUUAUGAUGGGAUUUAUUUCCUUCAAAAAAAUGGCUGGUUUCUGACAUGUUGAUUUGUCUGCUCAGAAUAGCGUAUGUGACAGUUUAGGCUUGUUUUCACCUUGCAGACACUGUUCCCCAAAGAAUUGGUAUAGAAAUCUGCUGUAGUUUGUGCUUCAGCUCUUUGGAAUAUGGCAAUAAUCUCCACACUGGGCAGCUGUUCAAAUGGACUUCAGACUGCCUGUGUGCUCCAGAACUGAACACAUACUAGUGAUGAGAGCACUAGGCUUUAUUUAUAGCCUCUCUUGGAAACCUUCAGUUCUAGAUCUGGCAGAAUUGUCCCUCUUAUCAAACAUGCCAUUGCUAUGGGCUGUAUUUCUCUAAUUGCUUUUCAUGUAUUUUCUGAGGUCGGCCUAAAGGUGAAGGAGCACUGUGCACGUGAUUUUGCAGUGAAGCUACUUGCUUCUUCCACAUGCAUCUGUGCAUAUAUGUGGAUUUCUUUUUUUGGUGUGGUUUUCCUCUCUUAUUCUGUUGUCUCUCCUCUUACUUUGAUAGUCUUUUGCAUUUGCGCUUCAGUCAUUGGAAGGAAAUUAAGAAAUAAAACAGGGUGUGUGCGUGCUGACUGGGUGGCACUUGUGUAAAGAUCUCUGAUGUAAUUGAAGAAGGUUCCCAUUGGAAAUUGAAUGUGCAUACAGACAAAACCCUGUGAAGUUACUGUAAGUCUGGAAGAGAUGACAACUCUUGGUUCUCUGCAGCUCAUCUGGAUCUGCAGCACUACAGGGAGGGAAAAUUAGUAGAACCUUGUCCCACAUUAAAAUAAAAAGUUACUCAGAGCAUUGAUUUACAUGCCUUACGCUUUAGAAAGCUAAAUUCUUGUCCUUCAUCAGAAAUAACUGGGUUGGAGACAUGCCAACUAUUAUGAAUAUGUCAGGAACAUCGUCAUUAUUUUGAUUUCACUUUUUAGAAGCUUUCAUGAAAAAGGAAUGAGCUUCCAAAGAUACGCAGUUACGUUUUCCUGCAGAAGUUCUGCAUACUUGAGGGGAUAAAAAUGGACUUAGUUGUAAGAUUAUUCCUCGUUGACUCUAGGACUUCUCCAACAAAUAGUUCUUUUUCUUAUGUUUAAUAUUUGCAGGAUUUAGUUUUAUGUUUCUGAGUUCUUCGUGGUUCUUGUUACCUUUCUUUGUAUAAUUACCAAGUUAAAAUGACCAAAUAUUGCAAAAAACCCAAAGACAAUCCACUCCAACAAAAGAAACCCCAUCAACAUCAUAGCAAUAGGUUUUUCUAUAAUUCCUUAAUUGUUAGACCGUGCUCAAGGGUUUAUGGCCUUACCUGAUUCCAGUCUAAGUGACUUUUCAAGUUCAGGUGACCUUCAGAGUUUGGAAGUCAAGGUCAUAGAACGAAAACACUUUGGAUUUCUGUUGUAGCUAUAGUCUGUGCACACACUGAGUAUCAUGUUCCUCCCACUGUGAUAGUCCAUUACCAUACCAUAAAAAAAAAGUUAAAUCACCAGCAAAAUAUUAGAAUGACUGUGCAUAACAAUGGAAUUAUUUUCUUGCAGGGUUUUUAUGGCUUUCAUUAGAUGUGUGUUUCAGUUCAGAUUUUGUGUUGUUGACUGGUGUGGAAGACAGAAAGCUUUAGAAAUUAAAGUGCUUGUGCAUCAGUCAUAUGCAACUGUAUUCAUUUGGAAAUAUUGCCUGUGCAAACCUCCUUUAAAGUAAAAAAAGGGCUGGAUAUCACAGGAAAUGCUUUUGUGAUCAAGUAGAUACUUAGGGCUUUAGUGAUCAAGUGGUUGGUAGGUGAGUUAAGGCUUUUUGUUUGAUUUGUUUUGAGAAUACAAUUAAAUAUAAUUAAAUAUAUUAUUAACCCAGAAAUAUAUUAUUAUUAUAAUUGCAAUUAAAUAUAUUAUUAACCCAGAAAAUUACCAUAGUAAGAUAUUGGCCUCAAACUGUGCAAUAUUUUUUUCUUUC
Molecule: RNA transcript, 5280 nt
Organism: Motacilla alba alba
Lineage: Eukaryota; Metazoa; Chordata; Aves; Passeriformes; Motacillidae
Gene: SLC9D1
Gene name: transmembrane and coiled-coil domains 3
Exons: 11
Source: RefSeq, a predicted model, not a curated record